RNAcentral lists this ribosomal RNA (467 nucleotides) under uncultured bacterium. Its description in RNAcentral is "partial 16S ribosomal RNA". It matches the Rfam family "Bacterial small subunit ribosomal RNA", at positions 28 to 507 of the family's 1533-position model. The record is from RNAcentral.
GACGAACGCUGGCGGCGUGCUUAACACAUGCAAGUCGAACGGAAAGGCCUCUUUCGGGGGGUACUCGAGUGGCGAACGGGUGAGUAACACGUGAGUAACCUGCCCUUGACUUUGGGAUAACUUCAGGAAACUGGGGCUAAUACCGGAUAGGAGCUCCUGCUGCAUGGUGGGGGUUGGAAAGUUUCGGCGGUUGGGGAUGGACUCGCGGCUUAUCAGCUUAUUGGUGGGGUAGUGGCUUACCAAGGCUUUGACGGGUAGCCGGCCUGAGAGGGUGACCGGCCACAUUGGGACUGAGAUACGGCCCAGACUCCUACGGGAGGCAGCAGUGGGGAAUAUUGCACAAUGGGUGGAAGCCUGAUGCAGCAACGCCGUGUGCGGGAUGACGGCCUUCGGGUUGUAAACCGCUUUCGCUCAUGACGAAGCUUUGCGUGACGGUAGUGGGUAAAGAAGCACCGGCUAACUACGUG